Molecule: small nucleolar RNA, 106 nt
Organism: Elaeis guineensis (African oil palm)
Lineage: Eukaryota; Viridiplantae; Streptophyta; Magnoliopsida; Arecales; Arecaceae
Source: RefSeq, a predicted model, not a curated record
ACAGCAUGGUGUGGGCAUUUACGAAUAAGGUUCUUAAGUCUCUCUUAUGUUUCAUGGAACAAUUCUCCAUCUAUUUGGAAAAAAUUAGUGAUGAUUUUUCUAAUUU